This is a long non-coding RNA of Bufo bufo (common toad), 254 nucleotides long. RefSeq lists it as uncharacterized. The record is from RefSeq and is a predicted model, not a curated record. Lineage: Eukaryota; Metazoa; Chordata; Amphibia; Anura; Bufonidae. The transcript has 3 exons.
GCAUGUCAUAGGUCGGAUCAGCAACUUCCGGCACUCCGGCUGUUCAGAAACUACAUCUCCCAGAAUGCUUCGUUCACUUCUAUGGGAGUUAGAACAGCCGAGCAUGUUUUCAUGCUGGGAGUUGUAGUAUCACAGCAGCUGGGGUGCCAAAGUUUGUUGAUCCCUGUUCUAUCCUUUUGAAGAAUGGACAUACCGAUAGGGAAAGCACACGGAUGAUCCAUGCGCUUUCUGAAUCUGUAUGUCCGUUUCGCAAA